Molecule: ribosomal RNA, 1033 nt
Filed under: Escherichia coli
Lineage: Bacteria; Pseudomonadati; Pseudomonadota; Gammaproteobacteria; Enterobacterales; Enterobacteriaceae
Description: partial 23S ribosomal RNA
Rfam family: Bacterial large subunit ribosomal RNA
Source: RNAcentral
CGGGACACGUGGUAUCCUGUCUGAAUAUGGGGGGACCAUCCUCCAAGGCUAAAUACUCCUGACUGACCGAUAGUGAACCAGUACCGUGAGGGAAAGGCGAAAAGAACCCCGGCGAGGGGAGUGAAAAAGAACCUGAAACCGUGUACGUACAAGCAGUGGGAGCACGCUUAGGCGUGUGACUGCGUACCUUUUGUAUAAUGGGUCAGCGACUUAUAUUCUGUAGCAAGGUUAACCGAAUAGGGGAGCCGAAGGGAAACCGAGUCUUAACUGGGCGUUAAGUUGCAGGGUAUAGACCCGAAACCCGGUGAUCUAGCCAUGGGCAGGUUGAAGGUUGGGUAACACUAACUGGAGGACCGAACCGACUAAUGUUGAAAAAUUAGCGGAUGACUUGUGGCUGGGGGUGAAAGGCCAAUCAAACCGGGAGAUAGCUGGUUCUCCCCGAAAGCUAUUUAGGUAGCGCCUCGUGAAUUCAUCUCCGGGGGUAGAGCACUGUUUCGGCAAGGGGGUCAUCCCGACUUACCAACCCGAUGCAAACUGCGAAUACCGGAGAAUGUUAUCACGGGAGACACACGGCGGGUGCUAACGUCCGUCGUGAAGAGGGAAACAACCCAGACCGCCAGCUAAGGUCCCAAAGUCAUGGUUAAGUGGGAAACGAUGUGGGAAGGCCCAGACAGCCAGGAUGUUGGCUUAGAAGCAGCCAUCAUUUAAAGAAAGCGUAAUAGCUCACUGGUCGAGUCGGCCUGCGCGGAAGAUGUAACGGGGCUAAACCAUGCACCGAAGCUGCGGCAGCGACGCUGAUGCGUUGUUGGGUAGGGGAGCGUUCUGUAAGCCUGUGAAGGUGUGCUGUGAGGCAUGCUGGAGGUAUCAGAAGUGCGAAUGCUGACAUAAGUAACGAUAAAGCGGGUGAAAAGCCCGCUCGCCGGAAGACCAAGGGUUCCUGUCCAACGUUAAUCGGGGCAGGGUGAGUCGACCCCUAAGGCGAGGCCGAAAGGCGUAGUCGAUGGGAAACAGGUUAAUAUUCCUGUACUUGGUG